CCCGGUUCUUUUGGCUAUAAGAUACUGAGCCGAUGGACAUGAAUAACUGAGUGCCCUAUGCUCAUCUAUUGAGUCUGCUUGUGGAGCCAGUGACAAACCUGAGCUAGAGCAACUGAAGCCCUGCUUGGAAGGUCAUCCUUUCAGCAUAUCUGCAGAGUAAUCAACUCAACCUCCUGGACAGAGAGGAAAUCCAGUGAUUGAAAAUGUAGUCACUACUGCUGUUGCUUAUAGAAGUGAGGAAUCUCAGUAGCCAGAGCUGCAAAGUUUUGAAGACAUUGUUUGCAGCUGAUUUUUGAAACCAACGCUUGCAGUUUUCA
Nothoprocta perdicaria is the source of this 317-nucleotide long non-coding RNA. RefSeq lists it as uncharacterized. The transcript is spliced from 3 exons. NCBI's taxonomy places the organism in Eukaryota, Metazoa, Chordata, Aves, Tinamiformes, Tinamidae. The record is from RefSeq and is a predicted model, not a curated record.